UACGAAGGGUGCAAGCGUUGUUCGGAUUUAUUGGGCGUAAAGCGCGCGUAGGCGGACCUGCAAGUCAGAUGUGAAAUCUCGGGGCUCAACCUCGAAACUGCGUCUGAAACUACAGGUCUAGAAUCUUGGAGGGGGAAGGGGAAUUUCUCAUGUAGGGGUAAAAUCCGUAGAUAUGAGAAGGAACACCAGAGGCGAAGGCGCCUUCCUGGACAAGUAUUGACGCUGAGGCGCGAAAGCGUGGGGAUCAAACAGG
RNAcentral lists this ribosomal RNA (253 nucleotides) under uncultured bacterium. RNAcentral's name for it is "partial 16S ribosomal RNA". It matches the Rfam family "Bacterial small subunit ribosomal RNA", at positions 524 to 776 of the family's 1533-position model. RNAcentral also lists the same sequence under 1 other name. The record is from RNAcentral.